This 1537-nucleotide small RNA is filed under the name Rattus norvegicus (Norway rat). RNAcentral's name for it is "uncharacterized LOC108350515". Lineage: Eukaryota; Metazoa; Chordata; Mammalia; Rodentia; Muridae. The record is from RNAcentral.
CAGGCCUUUAGGCUUGGCUUAGGAGUCUCUUCAACAGCCACCUGGGGCUCGGGCCUUUGGAUUGAAUGUCAGCAUUGGAUUUUCUGGUUUUCUGUCUUAUAGACAGGGGGCAAUAGAACUUCUGGGGCACCAAAAUCAACUGGUCUGCUACCAGAAGGGGCCACCCCAACUGACAGAGGGUCUUCACACAUCGAUCAAGGCGGUCAGGACAAUUCAUCUGCUGAGACUCCCUAUUCAGGCUCUGACUCGUGGAGCUGCUUCUCGAUUUGGAUCUGGUUCAUUUGAUGGAAGGAUUUGCUGUCUUCUCAACUUUCUAUGAAGGAUGCUUCUUGUCCCAGUCUUGCUAUGAGGACGUCAUACAAGUCUCUUGAUCUGUAUCAUCUGCCAGCUGGACUCCUCAUCACUAAUUCUGGCUGCCUGCUGGGAGAGCCUUGAAGGCUAGGCUGCAUGCAGAAAAAGACUCUGCAGACCUCUUAAAUCCUUUCUGAGCUGGCAGGAUUCCAAUAAUCUCUGCCACACUCCUGGGGGUAAACCCAAGCCCAGACCCUAGCUCUUCUGGCCUCCUCCUUGGUUUUACAGGCAUGAGGCCAGACCUCCUUACGACCAAGAAGACCCAAAGCUUGCUUCCAAAAUGUCUCCUCAUUAUACUGUCACACUGCUUCAGGCAUGUUAGGAGGCAAAACAGCCAAGUCUCUGCUGGCUAGGAGUCUGUCAGCAUCACAACAGAAAUAAACAGAAUAAGAGACAACGAGCUCAUUCCACAGAGCUGAGAUAAAAGUAGACAGACAGCCCAAUACUGAGGAGGACACAAGGCAAGGAAGUACUCAGGUCACAACUGUGCGUUCUUGGGCACUUGAGAGCCUUUGGAGAGAAGUGCUCUUAGAACCUAAUCUUGCAGAGGUAACUGUCCUUGAGCUGGCUUCUUCACAGGGAAGGAACAAGCAGGACCCCACUAAGAUGUUUCUAGAACACUUGAUUUGGGUGUCCUGUAAUCUGUAUUCUCCGGGUUGGACUUGACUCUUGCCACCAUAGUCAUCUGUAGGAGACACUUACCAGAUCUAGGUUAUGAAUAUUCUCUGCUGGAAGGAAGCUCAGGAGGCAGUGGCUCGUGAGGCUUCCAAGGUGUCUCAGGAUCCUCACAAAAAUCUCUUCCUUCCCGGAGGUUAUCUAGUGGAUAAACAGUUGACCAGGGUGUGACUCUUCCAUGAUGUCGCUGUCUGUUGUUUGCUCAUGGGAUUUACUGGUGCUGUAGGUGUCUUUGAGUCAGUCACCUGUGCUCUUAUAAGUAUCCCCAGUAAAUUCACUGGUUCACCAAACUGGUCUUGGAUGGACUCCUUUCUUUGGUCUGCCAGUGCCCUAUCUCUGUUUCCCAGGAAAAGCCAUAUGACUUAAGGCCCAUUUCUUAAAAUUGAGCUCUAAGAGUCAGGGAUAGGAAACUAACAAGGAAAUGUGCUGUGUGUUUCACUCUCUAGGGUAGGAUGUUUUUGGUUCAUCGCUGAGUUAGCUGUUAGGGACUUCCUGACUCCCUAGCCAGCCA